Molecule: ribosomal RNA, 539 nt
Filed under: uncultured Geobacter sp.
Lineage: Bacteria; Pseudomonadati; Thermodesulfobacteriota; Desulfuromonadia; Geobacterales; Geobacteraceae
Description: bacterial SSU rRNA
Rfam family: Bacterial small subunit ribosomal RNA
Source: RNAcentral
AGAGUUUGAUCCUGGCUCAGAACGAACGCUGGCGGCGUGCCUAACACAUGCAAGUCGAACGGAGUGAAGGAGCUUGCUCUUUCAUUUAGUGGCGCACGGGUGAGUAACGCGUAGAUAACCUGCCUUGGACUCUGGGAUAACAUCUCGAAAGGGGUGCUAAUACCGGAUAAGCCCACGAUGGCGUAAGUCAUUGCGGGAAAAGGGGGCCUCUGAAUAUGCUCCUGAUUCAAGAUGAGUCUGCGUACCAUUAGCUAGUUGGUAGGGUAAGAGCCUACCAAGGCGACGAUGGUUAGCUGGUCUGAGAGGAUGAUCAGCCACACUGGAACUGAGACACGGUCCAGACUCCUACGGGAGGCAGCAGUGGGGAAUUUUGCGCAAUGGGGGAAACCCUGACGCAGCAACGCCGCGUGAGUGAUGAAGGCUUUCGGGUCGUAAAGCUCUGUCUAGAGGGAAGAAAUGAUAGUCGGUUAAUACCCGGUUUUCUUGACGGUACCUCUGAAGGAAGCACCGGCUAACUCCGUGCCAGCAGCCGCGGUAAA